Molecule: ribosomal RNA, 702 nt
Filed under: Pseudomonas sp. RPBP7
Lineage: Bacteria; Pseudomonadati; Pseudomonadota; Gammaproteobacteria; Pseudomonadales; Pseudomonadaceae
Description: bacterial SSU rRNA
Rfam family: Bacterial small subunit ribosomal RNA
Source: RNAcentral
UGCAGUCGAGCGGAUGAAGGGAGCUUGCUCCUGGAUUCAGCGGCGGACGGGUGAGUAAUGCCUAGGAAUCUGCCUGGUAGUGGGGGACAACGUUUCGAAAGGAACGCUAAUACCGCAUACGUCCUACGGGAGAAAGCAGGGGACCUUCGGGCCUUGCGCUAUCAGAUGAGCCUAGGUCGGAUUAGCUAGUUGGUGAGGUAAUGGCUCACCAAGGCGACGAUCCGUAACUGGUCUGAGAGGAUGAUCAGUCACACUGGAACUGAGACACGGUCCAGACUCCUACGGGAGGCAGCAGUGGGGAAUAUUGGACAAUGGGCGAAAGCCUGAUCCAGCCAUGCCGCGUGUGUGAAGAAGGUCUUCGGAUUGUAAAGCACUUUAAGUUGGGAGGAAGGGUUGUAGAUUAAUACUCUGCAAUUUUGACGUUACCGACAGAAUAAGCACCGGCUAACUCUGUGCCAGCAGCCGCGGUAAUACAGAGGGUGCAAGCGUUAAUCGGAAUUACUGGGCGUAAAGCGCGCGUAGGUGGUUCGUUAAGUUGGAUGUGAAAUCCCCGGGCUCAACCUGGGAACUGCAUCCAAAACUGGCGAGCUAGAGUAUGGUAGAGGGUGGUGGAAUUUCCUGUGUAGCGGUGAAAUGCGUAGAUAUAGGAAGGAACACCAGUGGCGAAGGCGACCACCUGGACUGAUACUGACACUGAGGUGC